RNAcentral lists this ribosomal RNA (550 nucleotides) under uncultured Glomeromycotina. RNAcentral describes it as "SSU rRNA". It matches the Rfam family "Eukaryotic small subunit ribosomal RNA", at positions 548 to 1098 of the family's 1831-position model. The record is from RNAcentral. Lineage: Eukaryota; Fungi; Glomeromycota.
UUGGAGGGCAAGUCUGGUGCCAGCAGCCGCGGUAAUUCCAGCUCCAAUAGCGUAUAUUAAAGUUGUUGCAGUUAAAAAGCUCGUAGUUGAACUUCGAGAUCAAUUGGUCGGUCAUGCCAUUAGGUUUGUACUGGCCAUAUUGGUUCUCACCUUCUAAUGAACCAUAAUGUCAUUCAUUUGAUGUUAUGGGGAAUUAGGACUGUUACCUUGAAAAAAUUAGAGUGUUUAAAGCAGGCUUACGCUUGAAUACAUUAGCAUGGAAUAAUGAAAUAGGACAUCGCAUUCUAUUUUGUUGGUUUCUAGGAUCGAUGUAAUGAUUAAUAGGGAUAGUUGGGGGCAUUAGUAUUCAAUUGUCAGAGGUGAAAUUCUUGGAUUUAUUGAAGACUAACUACUGCGAAAGCAUUUGCCAAGGAUGUUUUCAUUAAUCAAGAACGAAAGUUAGGGGAUCGAAGACGAUCAGAUACCGUCGUAGUCUUAACCAUAAACUAUGCCGACUAGGGAUCGGAUGAUGUUGAUUUUUUAAUGACUCAUUCGGCGCCUUACGGGAAAC